AUGUCGGGAAUAUCGCUUGCAGUGGCGCCGCGGUCUGACCCGGACAACGGGGCGGAGCGGCAGCCGUCGUCGGCGAUGCUCGGGGGCGUCAUGGGCUCGCUCCGCGUCAUCGAGCUCCAGCUCGUCGCCUUCAUCAUGGUCUUCUCGAUGUCAGGCCUCGUCCCGCUCAUCGACCUCGCCUUCCCGGUCGUCACCACCCUCUACCUCCUCGCCCUCUCCCGGCUCGCCUUCCCUUCGCUCCACAGCAAGCUCGACGACGAAGCCGCCGCCGCCCACUCCGCCGCGUCCCAGGAGAUCUUCCGCGGAAGCAAGCUGUUUCAGGUGUAUGUGGUGAUGGGCACCACGGUGGGGCUGUUCCUGCCGCUGGCGCACGUCCUGGGCGGGUUCGCGCGCGGCGACGAUGCCGCCGUGCGCUCCGCGACGCCACACCUGUUCCUGCUCUCGUGCCAGAUCCUCACGGAGAACAUCGUCGGCUCGCUCGGCGUCUUCUCGCCGCCGCUGAGGGCGCUGGUGCCGCUUCUCUACACCGUGCGGCGCGUCUUCGUCAUCGUCGACUGGGUCUACGACGUGUGGACCAACAAGCUCAUCACCCGCAGCGCCCCCGUUCAGGAUAAGGCCUGGGUGUGGUUCGGCAGGUACCUCGCAGUGGCGAACCUGGUCUACUUCUCCAUCAACCUGUUCGUCUUCCUGAUCCCCAAGUUCCUCCCCCGCGCGUUCGAGAAGUAUUUCCACACGCGCGACGAGGUGUACGCCAAGACGGCGGAGGACAAGCGGGCGAGGGAUCUGUCCUCGCUCGAUGAUGACGGUGCGGCAAAAUCGGAAGUCUCCAAGAAGGCCGACUGA
Molecule: ribosomal RNA, 843 nt
Filed under: Triticum aestivum (bread wheat)
Lineage: Eukaryota; Viridiplantae; Streptophyta; Magnoliopsida; Poales; Poaceae
Description: partial small subunit ribosomal RNA
Source: RNAcentral